AACGAACGCUGGCGGCAUGCCUAACACAUGCAAGUCGAACGAGACAUUCGGGUCUAGUGGCGCACGGGUGCGUAAAGCGUGGGAACCUGCCAUUAGGUUCGGAAUAACUUCCUGAAUGGGGUGCUAAUACCGGCUAUUGUCCUCGGACCAACGAUUUAUCGCGUUUGGGUGGGCCCGCGAUGGAUUAGCUUGUUGGUAGGGUAAAAUCCAAUCAAGGGAUGGUUCCAUAGCUGGUCUGAGAGGAUGAUCAGCCACACUUGGAGUGAGACACGGCCCAGACUCCUACGGGAGGGGGCAAGGUAGGAUAUUGGACAGUGGGCGAAAGCCAGAUGCAUCUAGGACGCGUAAGUGAUGAAUGCCUGAGGGUUGCAAAGUUCGUUUACCCGUGAUGAUAAUGACGUUACCGGGAGAAUAAGCACCGGCUAACUCCGUG
Molecule: ribosomal RNA, 433 nt
Filed under: uncultured bacterium
Lineage: Bacteria
Description: partial 16S ribosomal RNA
Rfam family: Bacterial small subunit ribosomal RNA
Source: RNAcentral